RNAcentral lists this ribosomal RNA (253 nucleotides) under uncultured bacterium. RNAcentral describes it as "partial 16S ribosomal RNA". It matches the Rfam family "Bacterial small subunit ribosomal RNA", at positions 524 to 776 of the family's 1533-position model. The record is from RNAcentral.
UACGUAGGGGGCAAGCGUUGUCCGGAAUCAUUGGGCGUAAAGAGCGUGUAGGCGGCUCGGUAAGUCCGCUCUGAAAGCCCGGGGCUCAACCCCGGGAGGCGGGCGGAUACUGUCGGGCUAGAGUCCGGAAGAGGCGAGUGGAAUUCCUGGUGUAGCGGUGAAAUGCGCAGAUAUCAGGAGGAACACCGGUGGCGAAGGCGGGUCUCUGGACCGGUUCUGACGCUGAAGCGCGAAAGCGUGGGGAGCAAACGGG